RNAcentral lists this ribosomal RNA (238 nucleotides) under uncultured bacterium. Its description in RNAcentral is "partial 16S ribosomal RNA". It matches the Rfam family "Bacterial small subunit ribosomal RNA", at positions 532 to 769 of the family's 1533-position model. The record is from RNAcentral.
UGGCAAGCGUUGUCCGGAAUUAAUGGGUGUAAAGGGAGCGCAGGCGGGAAGCCAAGUCAGCUGUGAAAACUACGGGCUUAACUUGUAGACUGCAGUUGAAACUGGUUUUCUUGAGUGAAGUAGAGGUAGGCGGAAUUCCGAGUGUAGCGGUGAAAUGCGUAGAUAUUCGGAGGAACACCGGUGGCGAAGGCGGCCUACUGGGCUUUAACUGACGCUGAGGCUCGAAAGUGUGGGGAGC